GACCCCGGCUGCGCAGUGCGGCGCCGCGUGGCCCCUCCCGCCGCCCGCGCCGCCCCCGCGAGCCCCUGCUGGUGCCGCUCGCGCCGCCACCCUGACCGGAGCGUCCGGUGUCGGAUGAGGGUUCGCUCACUUCCGGCUCCUGUCCAAACGCGGCCGCCCUCCCCGGCGACAGCUUAAUGAAAUGAUGUGCUCAUAAAUUAUAACUUAACAUAUCCUGACUUGUUGUAUUAUUGGUAUUGUGAUCAGAACGGUAGCUUAGUAAUGAUGCGAGAGAUUUGCAACAUGCGUAAUGAACUUGAUACCAAAACUUCGCUAUGAACUUUGUUUUUGAGUUGAAUAUUUUAUUGAAUAAUACGUGAAGCAAA
This is a long non-coding RNA of Bombyx mandarina (wild silkworm), 365 nucleotides long. Lineage: Eukaryota; Metazoa; Arthropoda; Insecta; Lepidoptera; Bombycidae. The record is from RefSeq and is a predicted model, not a curated record.